This 489-nucleotide ribosomal RNA is filed under the name uncultured bacterium. RNAcentral describes it as "partial 16S ribosomal RNA". It matches the Rfam family "Bacterial small subunit ribosomal RNA", at positions 30 to 506 of the family's 1533-position model. The record is from RNAcentral.
AUUGAACGCUGGCGGCAGGCCUAACACAUGCAAGUCGAACGGUAACAGGAAGCGUCUUGCUGCUUCGCUGACGAGUGGCGGCCGGGUGAGUAAUGUCUGGCACGCUCCCUGAUGUAGGGGGGUUACUACUGGCAACGGUUCCUUAUACCGCAUAAUUUCGCAAGACCACUGGGGGGGACCUUCCGGCCUCUUGCCCUCGCUGGUGCGCAGAUGGGAUUAGUUUGUUGGUGGGGUACCGGCUCACCCAGGCGACGAUCACUAGCUGGUCUGAGAGGAUGACCAGCCACACUGGAACUGAGACACGGUCCAGACUCCUACGGGAGGCAGCAGUGGGGAAUAUUGCACAAUGGGCGCAAGCCCGAUGCAGCCAUGCCGCGUGUAUGAAGAAGGCCUUCGGGUUGUAAAGUACUUUCAGCGGGGAGGAAGGGAGUAAAGUUAAUACCUUUGCUCAUUGACGUUACCCGCAGAAGAAGCACCGGCUAACUCCGU